CUUUCACGGUCACCUGCCCAGCUCCUCUAUCCUUCUCCCCUCUCCUCAAACUUGAACCAGAGCAAAACCCUAGGCUCCCUCUUCCCCUUGUGCCGCCGCUGCCUCCUCUGCUCCUCCAAGCACCCAGCCAGAACCACAUCCGAGAGCCACCAAAAGUUUUGCCGGAGAAGACCAAGACCGCGCCGUCGAACCAAACUGCUGCGUCGCCGUCCGAGCGCGGGGAUGGAGCCGCCGUGGCGUCCUCUUCCUCCUCGCUGAACCGGAGCCGGAGCUACUCAAGAACGCCGCCGCCGCCGCCAAGACAUACCUGGUGCGCCGCUGUGCACGCCGACGACCUCCGCCUCGCCCCGCCGUCGUCUCCAUCUUCCCCAACCUCUCCUUCAACUUGCUGGUCGUGUGUGCUGCCAGAGCUUCAACAGCGUCAUCUUGGUCGGGCUUCGUCUGGCUUCCUUCGAAGGGCCGAGCCCCUCUCUUCAUUCAUCAAUUAAUCUAGCGGCUUGCCUGUUUCAUCUACACACCGAAGACGCCGGUACUGAGGAGUACGGCGAGGAGUACGACUACUACACCGAGGAGGAUCGUGCCGGUUCUCUUCUUCUGACUUGACAGGCG
This is a long non-coding RNA of Lolium perenne, 609 nucleotides long. RefSeq lists it as uncharacterized. The record is from RefSeq and is a predicted model, not a curated record. NCBI's taxonomy places the organism in Eukaryota, Viridiplantae, Streptophyta, Magnoliopsida, Poales, Poaceae.